CCCUAGCCCUGAUGGAAGCGGUAUCCUUUUUAGGCAAUCAUGAAGUUUUUUGGUUUAGCAUAAAUCUUCUGCCUAAAAAGAUAUAGCGGACAGCAGGAAAUAGC
RNAcentral lists this small RNA (104 nucleotides) under Flavobacterium collinsii. RNAcentral describes it as "Flavo-1". It matches the Rfam family "Flavo-1 RNA". Lineage: Bacteria; Pseudomonadati; Bacteroidota; Flavobacteriia; Flavobacteriales; Flavobacteriaceae. The record is from RNAcentral.